GUUACCAGUGCUUAGGUGUUUUCCCUCCCUGUGGGAUGUGGCAUCUGGGCUAUAUCUUGACUCUUAAUGCAGAUUCAGCUGCUGGGCUCCUGAUUCGCAGCAUUCAUCUUGUCACCCCAAGACUCAACUCCGUGUGGCAGCGGGCAUGAGCAUAUCACUGACAGUUCUAGAGCUCCUCUCUGGCCUGGCAAAGAUUGCAUUGUUUCCCCUUUUUGCUGCUGUGGAGCCAGUGUUAAAUACUAUUCAAGAUUCUGCAGUAUUAGAAGCCAUUGGUUGCCAAAUGGAAAUGGGUCGUGGAGAAGACAACAUGAAGGGUCCUAGUGGCACUGAUAGUGGUACUGGUUCAGCAAGUGGUGGGAGCACAGAGCCCACGACUCCUGGCACUGAGAGGCCCGCUCAACUCUCCUAAGGGAUCAUGGGAAGCUGUGUUAAAAAAGAAUAAAAAUAAAAUUUUACAAAAUUACCUUUAUUCUUUUAUUU
Cavia porcellus (domestic guinea pig) is the source of this 480-nucleotide long non-coding RNA. RefSeq lists it as uncharacterized. Lineage: Eukaryota; Metazoa; Chordata; Mammalia; Rodentia; Caviidae. The record is from RefSeq and is a predicted model, not a curated record. The transcript is spliced from 3 exons.